ACCUUGCUGACGCGUGCCAAGUAGCACGAAACCCGGGUCCAAGGU
This 45-nucleotide non-coding RNA is filed under the name Schistosoma mattheei. The record is from RNAcentral. Lineage: Eukaryota; Metazoa; Platyhelminthes; Trematoda; Strigeidida; Schistosomatidae.